This 253-nucleotide ribosomal RNA is filed under the name uncultured bacterium. RNAcentral describes it as "partial 16S ribosomal RNA". It matches the Rfam family "Bacterial small subunit ribosomal RNA", at positions 524 to 776 of the family's 1533-position model. The record is from RNAcentral.
UACGUAGGGUGCGAGCAUUAAUCGGAUUUAUUGGGCGUAAAGGGCGCGUAGGCGGGGAUGAAAGUCAGAUGUGAAAUCCCGGGGAUCAACUCCGGAACAGCAUUUGAAACUCCAUCUCUUGAGGGUAGGCGGAGAAAAUGGAAUUCCACAAGUAGCGGUGAAAUGCGUAGAUAUGUGGAAGAACACCAGUGGCGAAGGCGGUUUUCUAGCUUAUACCUGACGCUAAGGCGCGAAAGCAAGGGGAUCAAACAGG